Long non-coding RNA from Homo sapiens (human), 6320 nucleotides. RefSeq lists it as uncharacterized. NCBI's taxonomy places the organism in Eukaryota, Metazoa, Chordata, Mammalia, Primates, Hominidae. The record is from RefSeq and is a predicted model, not a curated record. The transcript has 4 exons.
AUUCUGUGUACAAUACUUUGACACCAUAGGAAUACCCAAUUCCUUAUGCCCUUUCAACUAAUGGUUUUAGCAUCUAUUAAUGAUCUUUGUCUGAAUCAAUUAUUUCACUAGAGGUUGCAAAUGCUGAUUAAACACACACAUACACACACAGAGUUGGAUUUUUUUUUUUUUUUUUUUUUUGAGCCAGGGUCUUCCUCUGUUGCCCAGGCUGGAGUGCAGUGGUGCCGUCACAGCUCACUGCAACCUACACCUCCUGGACUCAAGCGAUCCUUCUGCCUCAGCCCCCCAGUAGCUGGGACUACAGGUGCGAGCCCGGCUAAUAUUUUUUGGAUGCAGUUUCACCAUGUUAACCAUGCUGGUCUUGAACUACUGAGCUCAAGCAGUCCACCCGCCUCAGCCUCCCAAAGUGCUAGGAUUACAGGUGUGAACCACCACGCCUGGCCUGGAUUUUUCAUUCCAAAUACAUUAUUUGGAGUUAUUAUGAAAUUACAUAGCACUAUUAUGUAAAGCAGAGCUUUCCCUCAUCAGCUGAGGCUAUUUGGUUACUCUAAAUUACCAUUCCUAUUAUCAAUAGAUCAUCUUGAGUGUGAGUCUGUGAACUGUUUAUUUGAUUUUCUAGGAUAGAAAUUAGGAAAUUCCUGUAUGUUAGCCUAACCAUUGAUAAAGAGUAACAAUGAGCUGAGUGCGGUGGCUCACGCCUGUAAUCCCAGCCCUUGGGGAAGCUGAGGUAGAAGAUUCGCUGACUAUGCUGGGCAACAUAGUGAGACCCCGUCUCUGCACAAUAUAAAAAUUAGCCGGGUGUGGUGAUGCACGCCUGUAGUCUCAGCUACUUGAGAGGCUGAGGUAGGAGAGUCACCUGAGCCCAGGAAGCCGAGGUUGUAGUGAGCCGAGAUCAUACUAUUGCACUCCAGCCUGAGUGACAGAAAUAAAUUUUUUAAAAAAUAAAAUUUUAAAUAUUUUUUAAAAAAGAGUAACAAUGAAAACGUCAUCACCAGGUAUUUCUCACUCAUAAAAACACUGAGAAUAUCUAAACUGUCUUCCCAUUUUUUCUUAUUCUCAUUCUGAAUCUAUGUUACAAUAUUUCUUUUUAAACUGAAAACAUACUUCCAGGGAACAUAUCUGAAUCCUAAAUCACAGCAACCAGAUUUCUUUAAGGAGUGUGUCUUUUCCUCUCCUAUUGUUUGUCUAACCCUGAGCUGAGAAUCCAUAGUCCAGGGGUGCCUUACCGACAGUAACAAUGACCUAUUUCUUUUUUGCAUUUGCUUUGUUCUUUUAUCAGUCUCACCCUGUUGACAUUCAUCGCACAUCAGAGACUCAGCCACCUCUUCCCUUGCACAAUCAUUCCCCCUCUCAAGGCACAUUUAUAUUCAAGGCACAGGGUCAAGGAAAAGAAGAAAAAAACACGCUUCACAGCAGAACUUUGCCUAGCACUCCAAUUGAGGAUGUGCUCAUCUUUGCUUCAGAUGGUUUCUUCCUUGUUCAUACUCAGCAAUAAUAUACAGCCAGCAGGCAGCAAGAAUGAUGCUGUUCCCCUUGACUGGUCAGCACCCACACCACACCAGUUGUUCAAUAUUUUGAAUAUCACUCCUGCAUAUAAGCCACAAAAAUAUGUUAUCCUUCAUACCCAAGGAUGUUCCAACAGAAGGCUGUCUGUGUUACUAAGGUUGAAAUAAAAACACUGUAUUAGUCCAUUCUCACACUGCUAUGAAGAAAUACUUGAGACUGGGUAAUUUAUAAAGGAAAGGGGUUUAAUUGACUCACAGUUCCACAUGGCCUCAAGAAACUGACAAUCAUGAUGGAAAGCAAAAGAGAGAGGCAGGCAUCUUCUUUACAGGGUGGCAGGACAGAGUGAGCACUUAUAAAACCAUCAAGGUGCAGUGAGAUCUCAUGAGAACAGCAUGGGGGAAACCACCCCUAUGAUUCAGUUAUCUCCACCUGGUCCCGUCCUUGACAGGUGGGGAUUAUGAGGAUUAUAAUUGAAGAUGAAAUUUUGGGUGGGGACCAGCCAAACCAUAUUACACUUCAUUGUUGAUGAACUUUAAAUUAACUAAGACUGCACUUAAAUUUGGGGAUAAACACAAUCACCUCUGCUUCCUCCUACUAAACACCACUGAAAGAGUUUUUGAAUGGCAUAAACCCACAAAAGCAAAGAGAAUUGGAGAACUGAUUGAAGCAAAGAUUUGAAAGCUGGGAAGCAUAAUAAUGAGUAAAAGAAACUUAGUAGAACUGAGAAGCUGCUUUCUAAAUCAGCAGUAAAGAAAGUCAAGAAAUAAUCUGAGUCACAGAAUCCCCAAGAGACUUGGCAGUAUCUUCUUCUACCUUUAGAGGUGAGGGUGAGGCUGGGUUGAAAAUAGGGGGUUUGAUUGCCAAUUUGCAUAAAAAAAAGUUAGAUCACAGAUUUCCACCCCCUCCAGUAGCAGGGGAACUGCCUCUCCCAUACCUUGGUAGAGGGUAAAAUGGAGGGUCUCCAGGCUGGGAAACACCAGGCUCAGUUGAAAAUAGUGUACUGUACUGAAGCAAUGAGAUACCGACUAUCCCUAGACUAUUAGCAGCCAAACUCUUGCCCUCCAGGCAGGAGAUUGCAAGAAUCGUCACUUGGCAAUCUGACCAGCCAAAGAGAAAGACCCUAAGGACAUUGAUAUUGGGAGUUCCCCAACACAGUAACCCAGUCAAAUCUCAAUACAUGGAGCCCACAGUUGGCAAGCCUUUGCCACAUGCACAGAGCUUCCUGUGGGUUUUGUUAAUGUACCCCUCUCAUAAACAUUAGGCAGCCAAGAAGACCUACAUCUGUGGAACUCCUCUAACUUGAAGACAGAGCCCAACACAAAUUAAUGGUGGAAAAUAAAAAGAAUCUUGGAGAAAACAGAAUUCUUCAGGGAAAUGAAACUUCAAAAAUUAGUAUUCUCAGAGAGAUGUAAGAAAAUAUUGCCAUGAAACAAGAAGAGUGUCUUAGUCCAUUUUGAACUGCUAUUAACAAAAUACCUGAGACUGGGUAAUUUAUCAAGAACAGAAAUUUCAUAAUUGUCAUUUUGGAGGGUGGGAGACCAAGAUCAAGGCACCAGCAGGUUUGGUGUCUGGUGAGAGGCUGGCCUCUGCUUCCAAGAUGGCACAUCCUCAAGAGGGGGAAACAAUGUGUCUUCACAUGAUGGCAAGUGGAAGGCAAACAAGAGAGACCAAACUGCCUCCAUCAUGCCUUUUUAUAAUGGCAUUAAUCUGUUCAUGACAGUGGAGCCCUGGUGACCUAAACACUUCCCAUAGGGCUCUACCAUCCGACACUGUUGCAUUGGGGAUUAAGUUUCUAACACAUGAAUUUUGAGGAACACAUUCAGACUACAGCAAAGAGGAUGCCAUUUAAAAAGAAUAGAGAAAAACAACAAAAUGCAGUAACGAGAAUACAAAAUAUGAUAGAAGAAAUUAAAAACACAAUGGAAAAUUUAGAAGAUAAAGCUGGAGAAAUCUCUCACAGAGUAGGACAAGAAAGACACACAAGGCCAGGCAUGGUGGCCUAUGCCUGUAAUUCAGUGCAUUAGGAGGCCAAGGUAGGAGGAUCACUUGAGCCCAGGAGUUCGAAUCCAGCCUGGGCAACACAGUGAGACCCCAUCUCUACAAAAAAAUUAGCCAGGCAUAUGCCUGUAGUCCCAGCUAGUUGGGACAUGGGAGGAUCGCUUGAACCCAAGAGGUUGAGGCUGCAGGGAGCUGUGGUCAUGCCACUGCACUCCAGCCUGGGUGACAGAGCCAGGCCCUGUCUCAAUUAAAGAAAAAAAAAGACACACAAACAUGCACAUAAAUACACACACACACACACAAAUUCGAAAUGAGAAAGAAAUGGUUUUUUAAAUGAGAACAUUAUUACAGGAGAGCCAACAGACAAUAGGAGAUCAAAAAAAAAAAAAAAAAGGACAGAGAAAACAGAAGGGAGGAUAUCAAAGAAAUCAUUCAAGAAAACUUUCCAGAAUUCUAGGAAAUAAUUUUCUGUAUGUGAAAUAUUAAUAAAAGCAAAUGCUUAACUAGUACUUAACUAAGUGGCAGGCAAUGUCUCAAGCAUUUUACAGACAUUAAUUCAUUUAAUUCUCACAACAACCCUGUGAGGCAGGCAUGAAGAUUUAACUCAGCGAGUCCCUAAACCUAUGCCUCAGUUAACUGCUAGUGGACUCCCAAGUCACAUCGUGGUGAAAUUUCAAAACCUGGAGAACAAAGAAAGGAUCAUAAAAGCUUCCAGAGAGAAAAAACAGGUUAUGUACAAUGGAUCAAUAAGACUUCUCAACAGCAAUGUAAGACAUUAAAAGAAAAUAGAACACUGCCUUCAGAAUUCAGAUGAGAAAUAAUUUCUAGCAUAGAAAUCUAUCUCUUGAUGAAGACAUCAAUUAAGUUGGGGGAUAGAAUAAAGACAUUUUCAACAUGUGAGGCCUAAAAAAAAAUUACCUCCCAUGUACUCUUUAUCAGGAAAGCAUUGGAGGAUUCUCUCCAAAGGAGGAGAGUAAACCACACCAAAGGACUAUAAGGGAUUCAAGAAACAGAGGCUGUGACGCAUAGAGUGAAGGACCCUCCAGGAGGACGAUGGGGAACCCCAGGGUUUCCUCUAUAGACUAGGUGCAGGACAAGCAGGGCAAAACUACCAGCAAGUGUGAGCUGCUGGUGUACAGCAAGUGUGAAAUGCAGCAAAGACUCACAGACCUCAGAGUUUGGUCCACUGGACCCAGGCCCACUGCUGGAUAAAAGGUGCAGCACCCACUGGCCACUUCCACGGUUUACAUCUUGCUUCAAGGCCUUGUGCCCGAUCAGCUGAGCCCCUGUGCCAACCCUCAGUCUAAUUACAGGAGUAAGAACAACCCUACUACCAUGAGGACACAAUGAGCCUAAUCCAGAAAGUGUGGACAUCCUGCAAGACAAUCCCUCUGGCAGGCAAUAAGUCAAUGACAAGUGGAGGAAAAGAAAAAAAAAAGAGGCUGAGGCAGGCGGAUCACUUGAGGUUAGAAGCUGCUAAGACAAAUACGAGAUCUUCUGAGCGUGCCAGCCCAUCCAUCUGCACCAGUAACUCUGUCUUCAUCCGCAGGCUUCCUUCAUGUUCUCCCCUACAGAGAGACAAGACGUGAUUCUCCUAAGUGUCAGAGCCUUCGCCCUCAUGACAAGAGCAGCAUUCACAGCAAUGUCCCUGUGACUGUAGAACAGUUUCUGUUCUGAUGGCCAAUGGAGCCGUUCAUACUAGAGUUAGAGAAAAUGAGCAAUUUGCUGUUAUUUUCACAUACAGUAUGAUAGAAAGCAAGUAAAUGAAUAUAAUGAUGGUAUUUGAAAGAAAACCAAAGGCAGGCAGUGAGCUGGAGAAAAUAACUAAAGGGUCCACAGUCCCACUGGUAGAUUAAAUGCAGCCCAACUGUGUCUACCUGCAGCAUUAUUUACCUCUUUAAAAAUGACAUAAUUGAGGAUAAUCCCUUUCACUUACAUAGCACACAGGAAAGUACUUUCACACCCUCAGCCUCCUGAGUAGCUGGGACCUCAGGCACAAGCCCCCUGCCUGGCUAGGUAUAUGUUUUUUUAGGAUCUAUGCCCCUUAAUACUCAACUACCUUUGCCUAAGAGAGAAGACCGUCUCUCUCUAUAUAUAUAUGUGUAUAUAUAUAUAUAUAUAAUUUAUUUAUUAUAUAUUAUAAGCAUAAUAUAUAAUUAGCAUUUGCCCAUAUAUUUGCUAUAUGUUUAAUUAUCAUUUGCCCAUAACUAUAAUUCCUUUAACAUAAUAUUAUCGAAGUCUUCAGAGCACCCAUCCCUAUUUCCUGACCCUUUGAAGACUCUUAAUUUUGGAGUCUUUGAUCCCAGACAGGGAAAUGGAAAUUCGGGGCAGAACCUGGAGCACACACAAGGAUAGCAGAUGAAGAGUCUUCACAUUAGCUCGAUGAAGGUUGUGGGAAACUGGGGACAGAGCUCGACAAAGCACACGUAACAACAAGUGCAUAGGGAGACCUGGUCUUUGUAGAGUGACUAUGAGGGUGGGCUGGUGCAUUCCCAUCUAGGUGCCUGUGCAGUUGCCUGCUUCUAUCAGGCCUGGUAUAGAAAGCAGAGUGCUCCAGCCUAGGGCUGACAAGCACCAGCUCCAGUUAAGCUGAGGAAAAUGUCCUGUUUCAAUCAAUUACAUGAAUCCCAUAUAUUACUUGGGUACAUCUUUAUGGUUGCUUUUCCCUGCUGGGAAAAUGGUUUCCAAUGAGUAAAAUUUCAUAAAUUAUAUUAUAGUUAUACUUCCAACAAGCUAAUUAAUUGUGUUUUAUUACUAUUACUUCUGCCUUGAUGAUAGUCCAUUAAAGGUCAUUAAUAAAUGCAGCUGUGUUGAGA